UUUCUAAAUGUUUUUAAACAUAAAAUAUAUACAUAUCCAAACUAUUAUUUUAUGUUUAAAAAGAUAGAAAAUAUUAAACUUUAGUUUCUAUACUUUUAUUUGCAUAACUGAUAUAUUAUUAUAUAAUAAAUUAAUUAAUUUAUUAACCUACGGUUCACCCGCGGUCGACCCAGUGACUCAGCAACCCGGUAAGCUAUCCGGUUCAGUGUCCGGGUCGGGUUUAAAAACAUUGGUUGUAACAAAAUUCAGACCAGAUUUAUAUGAAUCACCUGAUUUACUUAUGAGACUGUAGGUUUGGUUCAGGUAUGAAAACACUGCUAAAACUAUUAAAAAUUCUAAAUAUAUAUACUAUUAGAUUAGCCCAAAAUCUGUCUAGUAAAUUUUUUGUCUCAUCAACUCAACAAAUAUAACUUUUACAAAAUACACACAAAAUGCAACGAUGACGUUGUAACAUAAGAAUACACAUAUAAAAUCUAAAAUAAACUAUUUGAUAAAUUAUAUAAUUUUAAACUAAAAUUCUUUUACUUUUUCGAUAUAAUAACACUUUAUAACUUAAUAAUAUAGUUCAAAAUAUCAAAACCAAAAUAAUAAUUCAUAUCAAACAAUAUUCUUAAUCGGAAAAAAAAUCCGCGCUUUUGAAGCGCGGGUUAAAAUCUAGUUAAUAUUAAUUUUGCUUUUUUAAAAUACUGAUCAAAAUAUAAUUGCAAAAUAUUAUUUGAUAAUAAUUUUUCUUCUAAUGUUGGGACAUGUGUUUAAAUAUAUACUGAUUAAUAAUAUAUAUGAUAAGAUAAUAAAAACGAAUUUUGAAAACUACUUGGGAAAAUUUUACUUUUACACUUUGUUUGAUACCACUAUUCAAUUUUACCACCAAUUUAGGGAUAUUUUCAUAAAUAUCAUUUUCAAUAAUGAACAAAAGAUAAUAGUACCCUUACCUUAUCUUCUACUCAAUCAUCGACUCUUCCUCUCUCUUUUUGAGAUCCAUCUUAUCUUGGACUUACCGUCGAGAUCCCCCGUCUCCGUCUAGAUCCGCCGUCUCCGUCGAGAUCCACCGUUUCUGUCGAGAUCCGCCGUCUCCAUCGAGAUCCGCCAUCUCUCUCUCACACAACCGGCGACGAAAACGGAUUAGAGAGAAUCGUGAUUCAAAGCCUUCAAAUGUUGAUUCCUGUUCAAGAUUCACAACUCUUAGACAGUAAUGAAUCUUGCACAUCUCCAUGAUUGCCUCCAAGGAUUUAUGAAGCUGUAACAGAACCACUAGACAAUCCAAAAGUGAUUAUCCAAUCGGUGUCUUGGUCAAUAAUGUUAAGUGUUUUAUAAAAGAUUAUAAAUGAAGUUUUAUAGGGGUUUAUAAAUUUAUAAAUUAGAGAGACUUAUAAUACGUUGUUUUUUCUUUGUUACAUCUUGUGGUUAAUACAUUAUUUGGAUUCUCUGAGGAAUACAAACAUUUGGUGACCCCAACA
Brassica napus (rape) is the source of this 1457-nucleotide long non-coding RNA. RefSeq lists it as uncharacterized. The transcript is spliced from 2 exons. The record is from RefSeq and is a predicted model, not a curated record. Lineage: Eukaryota; Viridiplantae; Streptophyta; Magnoliopsida; Brassicales; Brassicaceae.